AUUGAACGCUGGCGGCAGGCCUAACACAUGCAAGUCGAACGGUAACAGGAAGCAGCUUGCUGCUUUGCUGACGAGUGGCGGACGGGUGAGUAAUGUCUGGGAAACUGCCUGAUGGAGGGGGAUAACUACUGGAAACGGUAGCUAAUACCGCAUAACGUCGCAAGACCAAAGAGGGGGACCUUCGGGCCUCUUGCCAUCGGAUGUGCCCAGAUGGGAUUAGCUAGUAGGUGGGGUAACGGCUCACCUAGGCGACGAUCCCUAGCUGGUCUGAGAGGAUGACCAGCCACACUGGAACUGAGACACGGUCCAGACUCCUACGGGAGGCAGCAGUGGGGAAUAUUGCACGAUGGGCGCAAGCCUGAUGCAGCCAUGCCGCGUGUAUGAAGAAGGCCUUCGGGUUGUAAAGUACUUUCAGCGGGGAGGAAGGGAGUAAAGUUAAUACCUUUGCUCAUUGACGUUACCCGCAGAAGAAGCACCGGCUAACUACGUG
RNAcentral lists this ribosomal RNA (490 nucleotides) under uncultured bacterium. RNAcentral describes it as "partial 16S ribosomal RNA". It matches the Rfam family "Bacterial small subunit ribosomal RNA", at positions 30 to 507 of the family's 1533-position model. The record is from RNAcentral.